This 355-nucleotide unclassified non-coding RNA is filed under the name fungal sp. RNAcentral describes it as "partial internal transcribed spacer region". The stretch from base 1 to 46 matches the Rfam family "Eukaryotic small subunit ribosomal RNA", at positions 1786 to 1831 of the family's 1831-position model. The record is from RNAcentral. Lineage: Eukaryota; Fungi.
AAGUCGUAACAAGGUUUCCGUAGGUGAACCUGCGGAAGGAUCAUUAACACGCAUUUAAAGCAUCCAAUAUCAAAAAUCACAACCAAACGGUCAACUAUCUCCUCCCUAUUUCGCACACCGGAGACGGUACGAGUAGGCUAACAUGUAAAUAACAUUAACAUUUGUUAUGAAACAAACACAAGAUAACCCCUUUUAAUUAUAUUGUUCAUUAUAAUAUAAUAUAAAACAACUCUUCGAUUUGCUUCUCUUGAGAAGAAAAACGAACUAAACUAAAAUAUACAUUCGAUAUAUUUUUAUUUUACGAAAUAAUAUAUAUUUAUAAGAACAACUCUUAGCAAUGGAUAUCUUGGUUCUC